CUCUGCCCAGAAGGAGACGUUUCCCCUCUACCCAACUUUCACACGAGCCACCCUCCUCACCCCGUCUCUCUGCUUUAACCUCUUUUAGGAUGAUUGACGGUAGGAAAACUCCUCCUGACUGGGGGAAAAUACUCCCCAAUCCUCAAGGAUGUGGUCUGGUUCUGUGCUCUUGUUAAGAGCCCUGUUGGCUACUGGUCGACUGAACAUGUUCUCCUUCCGGCCCGUGCUGCGAGCACUGUAAUGCGGCUUCCCUCCUGGGACAAGAUAGUCUUCUGUUCUUGGCGUCAAGCACGGGCCAGCUCAAAGCUUGGUGAAAGGAGGGUUUGUCUGGGAAGCGAAGUCCAUAAGUGUGCAGUAAACUCAAGGAAAUUAUACUGGCAAAAUAUGGAAUUUGGUCUGAGAAACUUUUCUUUUUGGUGAAGAAGAUUUGUCCCGAGCUAACAUCCAUUACCAAUCUUCUGCUUUUUUUUUUUUCCUGAGGAGGAUUAGCCCUGAGCUAACGUCUGUGCCAGUCUUCCUUCACUUUGUAUGCAGGAUGCCUCCACAGCAUGGCUGAUGAGUGGAGUAGGUCU
RNAcentral lists this long non-coding RNA (572 nucleotides) under Equus asinus (donkey). RNAcentral's name for it is "lncRNA (ENSEASG00005038748.1)". Lineage: Eukaryota; Metazoa; Chordata; Mammalia; Perissodactyla; Equidae. The record is from RNAcentral.